Molecule: ribosomal RNA, 301 nt
Filed under: uncultured bacterium
Lineage: Bacteria
Description: partial 16S ribosomal RNA
Rfam family: Bacterial small subunit ribosomal RNA
Source: RNAcentral
CAGUCGCCGCGGUAAUACGAAGGGGGCUAGCGUUGCUCGGAAUCACUGGGCGUAAAGGGUGCGUAGGCGGGUCUUUAAGUCAGGGGUGAAAUCCUGGAGCUCAACUCCAGAACUGCCUUUGAUACUGAGGAUCUUGAGUUCGGGAGAGGUGAGUGGAACUGCGAGUGUAGAGGUGAAAUUCGUAGAUAUUCGCAAGAACACCAGUGGCGAAGGCGGCUCACUGGCCCGAUACUGACGCUGAGGCACGAAAGCGUGGGGAGCAAACAGGAUUAGAUACCCGUGUAGUCCCUGUCUCUUAUAC